This 566-nucleotide ribosomal RNA is filed under the name uncultured bacterium. RNAcentral's name for it is "partial 16S ribosomal RNA". It matches the Rfam family "Bacterial small subunit ribosomal RNA", at positions 355 to 914 of the family's 1533-position model. The record is from RNAcentral.
UGGGGAAUUUUGGACAAUGGGGGAAACCCUGAUCCAGCCAUCCCGCGUGUGCGAUGAAGGCCUUCGGGUUGUAAAGCACUUUUGGCAGGAAAGAAACGUCGCGGGUUAAUACCCCGCGAAACUGACGGUACCUGCAGAAUAAGCACCGGCUAACUACGUGCCAGCAGCCGCGGUAAUACGUAGGGUGCAAGCGUUAAUCGGAAUUACUGGGCGUAAAGCGUGCGCAGGCGGUUCGGAAAGAAAGAUGUGAAAUCCCAGAGCUUAACUUUGGAACUGCAUUUUUAACUACCGGGCUAGAGUGUGUCAGAGGGAGGUGGAAUUCCGCGUGUAGCAGUGAAAUGCGUAGAUAUGCGGAGGAACACCGAUGGCGGAGGCAGCCUCCUGGGAUAACACUGACGCUCAUGCACGAAAGCGUGGGGAGCAAACAGGAUUAGAUACCCUGGUAGUCCACGCCCUAAACGAUGUCAACUAGCUGUUGGGGCCUUCGGGCCUUGGUAGCGCAGCUAACGCGUGAAGUUGACCGCCUGGGGAGUACGGUCGCAAGAUUAAAACUCAAAGGAAUUGAC